Molecule: non-coding RNA, 78 nt
Organism: Schistosoma mansoni
Lineage: Eukaryota; Metazoa; Platyhelminthes; Trematoda; Strigeidida; Schistosomatidae
Source: Rfam
AGCUUUACGAAUCCGUACCGAGAUUUCCUCAGACACUAAACCACAAAGGCUGAUGAGAUUUAAAAGAUGAGUGGAGUA